GAUGAACGCUGGCGGCGUGCUUAACACAUGCAAGUCGAACGGGAAUUAUUUUAUUGAAACUUCGGUCGAUUUAAUUUAAUUCUAGUGGCGGACGGGUGAGUAACGCGUGGGUAACCUGCCUUAUACAGGGGGAUAACAGUCAGAAAUGGCUUCUAAUACCGCAUAAGCGCACAGAGCUGCAUGGCUCAGUGUGAAAAACUCCGGUGGUAUAAGAUGGACCCGCGUUGGAUUAGCUUGUUGGCAGGGUAACGGCCUACCAAGGCGACGAUCCAUAGCCGGACUGAGAGGGUGAACGGCCACAUUGGGACUGAGACACGGCCCAGACUCCUACGGGAGGCAGCAGUGGGGAAUAUUGCACAAUGGGGGAAACCCUGAUGCAGCGACGCCGCGUGAAGGAAGAAGUAUCUCGGUAUGUAAACUUCUAUCAGCAGGGAAGAUAGUGACGGUACCUGACUAAGAAGCCCCGGCUAACUACGUG
This 478-nucleotide ribosomal RNA is filed under the name uncultured bacterium. RNAcentral's name for it is "partial 16S ribosomal RNA". It matches the Rfam family "Bacterial small subunit ribosomal RNA", at positions 28 to 507 of the family's 1533-position model. The record is from RNAcentral.